Molecule: ribosomal RNA, 433 nt
Filed under: uncultured soil bacterium
Lineage: Bacteria
Description: bacterial SSU rRNA
Rfam family: Bacterial small subunit ribosomal RNA
Source: RNAcentral
GAUGAACGCUAGCGGCAGGCUUAACACAUGCAAGUCGAGGGGUAUUGGUUUUCGGACCAAGAGACCGGCGCACGGGUGCGUAACGCGUAUGCAAUCUACCUUUCACAGAGGGAUAGCUCAGAGAAAUUUGGAUUAAUACCUCAUAGCAUAGCAGCUUCGCAUGAAGCCACUAUUAAAGUCACAACGGUGAAAGAUGAGCAUGCGUCCCAUUAGCUAGUUGGUAAGGUAACGGCUUACCAAGGCUACGAUGGGUAGGGGUCCUGAGAGGGAGAUCCCCCACACUGGUACUGAGACACGGACCAGACUCCUACGGGAGGCAGCAGUGAGGAAUAUUGGACAAUGGGCGCAAGCCUGAUCCAGCCAUGCCGCGUGCAGGAUGACGGUCCUAUGGAUUGUAAACUGCUUUUGUACAGGAAGAAACAGUUCUACGUGU